UUAGUCCAAGAUUAUAGCUUCCGAGCAAUAAAGUUGGGUAGAGUUGGUCUUUCGACCAAUAGGAAAGCAUCUGAGUGCACGGGCAAAUCCAACAUGGCUGCCUGCUUGAAUUCCAAGUAGAAGAUUAAGAAAUUUAUUAAAUAAUGGACUUUAUUAGCGAGAAAAAAUGUCUAUGGGAUGUUAAAAGUCCCUUGUAUUGCAUGAAGAUUUAUAGAAUUUGGUUAAGGAGGGAGUAUUUUCAAGGAAUUGAUUAAUCAGCGAUUGCCGAAAGCAUGCAUACUCCUUGCAUACGCUGCUUGUCAAAGGAUGUAUAAGGAUAUAUGGCAGCUGACAUCAAGAAAUAAUGACACAAAGACAUGAAGAAAAGUGUGAAGAAUCGAUGCAUUAUAAUAUUCUGUAAAUACUGU
Uloborus diversus is the source of this 407-nucleotide long non-coding RNA. RefSeq lists it as uncharacterized. The transcript is spliced from 3 exons. Lineage: Eukaryota; Metazoa; Arthropoda; Arachnida; Araneae; Uloboridae. The record is from RefSeq and is a predicted model, not a curated record.